UACGUAGGGGGCGAGCGUUGUCCGGAAUCAUUGGGCGUAAAGAGCUCGUAGGCGGUUUGUCGCGUCUGCCGUGAAAGUCCGGGGCUCAACUCCGGAUCUGCGGUGGGUACGGGCAGACUAGAGUGAUGUAGGGGAGACUGGAAUUCCUGGUGUAGCGGUGAAAUGCGCAGAUAUCAGGAGGAACACCGAUGGCGAAGGCAGGUCUCUGGGCAUUAACUGACGCUGAGGAGCGAAAGCAUGGGGAGCGAACAGG
RNAcentral lists this ribosomal RNA (253 nucleotides) under uncultured bacterium. RNAcentral's name for it is "partial 16S ribosomal RNA". It matches the Rfam family "Bacterial small subunit ribosomal RNA", at positions 524 to 776 of the family's 1533-position model. The record is from RNAcentral.